Meriones unguiculatus (Mongolian gerbil) is the source of this 2928-nucleotide long non-coding RNA. RefSeq lists it as uncharacterized. NCBI's taxonomy places the organism in Eukaryota, Metazoa, Chordata, Mammalia, Rodentia, Muridae. The record is from RefSeq and is a predicted model, not a curated record. The transcript has 2 exons.
GAGGUGAGGCGGGGUGAGAGUCAGCCAGAGCGAUGCACUCCGGGACAAGCAGCCCGGGAGUCGCUGAGAACAAGGUACCCACAGUGCAACGGUGAUGGCAGCAGGCGGAAACGGACGGCUGUAACACCAGAGCCAGAAUGCACUGGAGGCGAGACUUGCUCAUCUACCUCUCGCACGUUGCCACGAAAGCCAGGACAGGCGGGUCCCCACAGCAAGGCGCGCAGCUCUGUCUCCACUGCCUUACCGCUCUGACCUAGGGUAAACGGAGUGGACCGCACCCUCUGCCCGUCCGGGAGGUGACCGCAGUGGAGCCCCCGCCUUGCACCGGGCCUGGGCACCCUUACGGGCCCAGCGUGAGAGCUUGCGCCCUUGGGCUUGGGGCAGGGGAGCUGCAGCCCAGAAGCGCGCGCCGCCCCAGGACGUUCUGGCUGUGGUUGGGGGUGAAGCCUGACCCCGCUGUCUAAGGGAAACCGGAGCCAGUUACUGUUAGCAGGCUUGGGGCUCUCAGGGAGAGGUCCGGCCCUCCCGCGCCGUCAGCAGCCUGUAAGUAAAUCCAGGGAUGAGGCUGCAGGUCCCUGCUGACGCUCAGAGAACGGACUCCCUGGCGCUCGGAGACAGCGACGUGCCGGGAAGGCUCCCGCACCGGCCGGGGCCCCGUGCUGAAAACACGCGCAGAAGAGAGACCCCGGGUGCUUAAGCAGCCCGCGCGCUGCGUGCACGAGCUCUCCCGGGCACCCACAGGUGAUCGCCCAGCACUGCCCUUCUCCUUGCCAUGUUUGUGGUCUCUUCCGUACAAGCACCCUGCAGUUCCCGGGAGGUGAGGAGUCCCGUCAGCAGGGUACAGACGGAGCUGUCCAAGUCCGUACACGCUGAGCAGCAGCGUCCGACGGGCCAUCUCCACAUACUCCUGUGCACUGCACCAGCUCAAGAUUACAGCGGACGCGGCCAUGCUGUUAGCAGAGGUGACCCCGGGACAGCGAAAGCCUGUUCAAGCUCCCUGCCGCUGGGAUUGAUGGCGGCGGCGGCGCCGCUGGGAAGCAGGUCCAGCGUGCACGCUCUGUCAGUCAGCUUUCUACACUGAGUACACCCCCAAAGCCUCACCUGUUGGGGCUGGAGAGGUGGCUCAGCAGUUCAGAGCACAGGCUGCUCCUCCAGAACCCAGGUUUGAGUCCCAGCACCCACAUGGCAGCCACAACCGUCUGUGGCUCCAGUUCAGGGAUCCAGUGCCCUGUUCUGGCAGCUGUGUGCCCCAGAUGUGCAUGACGUUAACACGCAUCCUAAAACAUAGUCUAUGGACUCAUAUAGUAGGAGAUGACGGACUUGACUGACACAGGGAAUAUGUCAGGCUUCCUUUGUGUCCAGACCUGAGGUUUUGGUUUGAUGUCUCUUUGGGUCAACUGGCCCAGCCAAAUAUUAAUAUGGUAUUACUAACACCGAAUUAUUAAUGUUUUUGGCAAGAGCAGUCGGCCAAGCGGAGGCUACAGUUGUGUGGCCAUCUUCACAGCAGCUGUGCAGUUGACAAAACUGACAUAUUCACCCUAUUUAUGUUCUCUUGGGAGCUUAAGACACUGCUGAAGGGUCGGAGGGAGUGAGCUGCUUCUGCGGGUAGCCUCGAAGUGAAGAGACUGAGCUCACACCUAUAAGCAGUCAGCUAAAGGGCGGGCCGCAGUCUGGCCAUGGCAGCUGGCUCGGUUGCUCUUAGGCUUAGGGUAGGCAAAGCAGUAUGGUGAAGGACCCACUCCAAGGGAGGGUCUGUCAAGGGCCCGUGAGCUGCUCCCUCACUGCAGCCCCCCACCGUCUCUACCGCCUCCCGAGACACCAUCAGUUAUGAGUGAUCCAUUGCUGUGCCCAAGCCCUGUUGUCCACUCAGCUCCAAACAUGACACGGAGGACCAGACCUUCAACACAGGGCCUUUAGCACAGGCUCUUUCUAUCUAAACCAUUCUCCCUUCCCCUCUUUUUUCUAGUUAUAUGCAAAGAUGUGUGAUCUUAUAAAAGAAAAUUACCAGUGGGUGGUGAUGAGAUAGAAAUGCUCUCCCAAAGCUCUAUGAUAAUGAUGACCUCUUUGUCAUCUGGGAGAUAGAGUCCUCUUUGUCGUCUGGGAGAGAGAUGGGCUGUGCUUGGGCGAACAGUCAAUGGAAUGUAACCUGGCUUUUUAUCCCACUAGUAGCUAUGUCUAAAGAGCACAACAUUUUUCUUUGAGGAGAAGAAAAAAAAGCUGUUAUGUGGCAUUGUAGACCCACAUUUCCAACAUGGCCAUUGUAUUUCUGGCCUCCUGUUCUGGAAUCAUGCCAUAGCACCUUACAAAAUGGUACCUUGUGACCUUGAAAGGUGCCACUAGAAUUGUAGACGGGCAGAGGCCACUGCGCACCUUGUUAUCAUCCUGUCUAAAUUAGCACAGUGUCUUGGUCAGGGCUUCUGUUGCUGCAUGAAACACCAUAACCAAAAGCAAGUCAGGGAGGACAAGGUUUACUCUGCUCACACUUCCACACGUAGGUGGUCAGGGCAGGAAGUCCAGCAGGGUGGGAACCCGGAGGCAGGAGCUGAUGCAGAGGCCAUGGAGGGUGCUGUGCCCUGGCAUGUUCCCCAUGGUUCAGCUGCUUUCUUAUAGAACCCAGGACUACAUUAGCCCAGGGAUGACCCCACCCACAACGGUCUGUGCUCCCCCAACACACACCAUUGAUCAUUCAUUAAGAAAAUGCCCUAUGUACAGGCCUGCCUGCAGCCCUAUCUCAUAGAGGCAUCUUCUUAACUGAGUUCCCUCCUCUCAGAUGACCUCAGCUUGUCAAGCUGACAAUUCUGCAUACAUGGGAAGUAACAGGCUUCUGGCGGCAUUUCUACACAUGCUUCGUUCUUGCUGAUUUCCAUCCUGGCUUUCCCCAUUCCCUGUCCAAGUCCUGCUUCCCCUCCUCCUCCAGCAUCCCCUUCU